Mytilus californianus (California mussel) is the source of this 1357-nucleotide long non-coding RNA. RefSeq lists it as uncharacterized. The record is from RefSeq and is a predicted model, not a curated record. The transcript has 3 exons. Lineage: Eukaryota; Metazoa; Mollusca; Bivalvia; Mytilida; Mytilidae.
UCAAAAACUGAAGAUUGUCUGCAACGAGUCUGAAGUUUUCCAGCAUGAAUCGUCAUCAGUAAAUCCCACUGAAACCAAGCCAGAAACAAACGAUGACAGCACACUGUUUAUUGCUAUUGGAAUAUGUGUUGGGGUUCUUGUCAUGAUUACCAUUGUCAUUAUUACUGUACUUUUCACCAGAAGAAGAUCAAGUAAGAGACUGGGCGAAUUACAAAGGAACACUGUAUCAGAUUCAAAUCAAGAAAAUCAGUAUUCACAAUAUGAUGGAUUGACAGACAAUGUAUUAUAUGUAUCAGCAACACAUCAAGACGACUAUGACAUUAAUUAUUCCACAGUUAAUUUAGAAAGGCAACAAAUGGCAGCAACGCAUUCUGAAAUCGAUAAUCACUACAACACUGUGGGGACCCAUGCAGAAACCAGGUCUUUACAAGCAUUACAAACAUUUCACGACAACGAGGCUAUGAUUAAUAAUAAAACUUCAAACUCCAGCAAUGAAACGAAGAAUCUCAGUCCACCUAACAAAUGUAGUGUUGUGUAUGCUGUCGUUGACAAAGGGCUACAAAGUUCGAUUCAAAAUUCAUCUGCAAAAAUACAGGACGAUGCGAAACCAGAAUAAGCUUAUGCUAUUGUUGAUAAAACACGAAAUCAGGAUCCAUGACGUGUUAGUCAUAACGAUUUAUGUUGUAUAAAUGCUGUAUAAAGUGUAUAUGUUUUAAAAUUUUCACAAGUUUGAGCAAAAUUAUCAUUCAAUGUAGAUGCCUGUGGUAAUGCAAAUAUAUCAGAGCAGUUGUAAUAUUUAAAUAAAUUUAUGUUCUUAGUUAAACAACGAUACUAUUGCAUGUUUAACUUGUAUCCUAAAACGUGUUUGAUCAGAAUGAAACACAUCUUUAAAAUGAAUAUAUAAAUGCAAACGGAAAAUAAGCUUUGAAACAUAGAGUAUAAUAUGAUUCAUAAAACAUCUUAUCAGUUUACUUCCUUUAAUAAUUGUGAUUGUUGCGUGAUUAUCAGUAAGAAUAUCAACCACAUUGUGUUAUCUGUAAGAUAAUGUCAAAUGUGAUAAUCAAUUUAUAACAUUGUUGCUAACUAUGUAGUGUAAUGUCAACCAAGGGCAAACUAUUGUUUCAUCUGCUAUGUUUAAAUUGUGUAAGUACUAAUUUUAUUCACAGAAUACAAAUGGUCAUUGUGAAUUACACAUACCUUUAGUUUGUGAGAGAAAAUAUGGAAGAUGUUUUAUAUUUUUGCUUUAACGUUAAAUAUCCAUGUGUAAUAUUUGCAUUCAAUCAAAUCCUUAAAAUUACAGAAUAACUUAUGGGUUUUAAAAGUUUUGUUUAAAUUUUGUUUACAUUGUACCCCUUCA